UACGGAGGUCCCAAGCGUUGUUCGGAUUCACUGGGCGUAAAGGGUGCGUAGGCGGUCGGGUAAGUCUGAUGUGAAAUCUCACAGCUUAACUGUGAAACUGCAUUGGAUACUAUUCGGCUUGAGAGUUGGAGGGGGGACUGGAAUUCUUGGUGUAGCAGUGAAAUGCGUAGAUAUCAAGAGGAACACCAGUGGCGAAGGCGAGUCCCUGGACAACUUCUGACGCUGAGGCACGAAAGCUAGGGGAGCAAACAGG
This 253-nucleotide ribosomal RNA is filed under the name uncultured bacterium. RNAcentral's name for it is "partial 16S ribosomal RNA". It matches the Rfam family "Bacterial small subunit ribosomal RNA", at positions 524 to 776 of the family's 1533-position model. The record is from RNAcentral.